AGCGAACGUUAGCGGCGCGCCUAACACAUGCAAGUCGCACGAGAAAGGGGGCAACCCCCGGUACAGUGGCGCACGGGUGAGUAACACGUGGAUUACCUUCCCUGGAGUGGUGGAUAACCUGCCGAAAGGUGGGCUAAUACAGCAUGAGACCACGUAGUUUCGACUAUGAGGUCAAAGCGGGCUUCUGUUUACAUGCUCGCGCUCUAGGAUGGGUCCGCGGCCCAUCAGCUAGUUGGUAGGGUAACGGCCUACCAAGGCAACGACGGGUAGCUGGUCUGAGAGGAUGAUCAGCCACACUGGAACUGAGACACGGUCCAGACUCCUACGGGAGGCAGCAGUGGGGAAUCUUGCGCAAUGGGCGAAAGCCUGACGCAGCGACGCCGCG
This 385-nucleotide ribosomal RNA is filed under the name uncultured bacterium. RNAcentral describes it as "bacterial SSU rRNA". It matches the Rfam family "Bacterial small subunit ribosomal RNA", at positions 29 to 401 of the family's 1533-position model. The record is from RNAcentral.